CUCGUGUGUGUAUGUGUACAUAUGUUGGUACUGCAUGUAUAUACAUGUUGAGACUUUCAUUUGUUACAUAUCCCCCUCCCGUACCCUCCCCGUUCUCGUUGCGCAUUGAAAGUUAUAUCCAUAAGUUACUGUAUUACCGACAUGACAGAUUUCCUAACCUCGCAUGUGUCACUUUUUAACUAUUUAUUUCUCGCAAACUAGAGCCGAGCGACCAUUUUUACUUGCAGAUUCGGCUUCUACACAUCAAAAUACACAAGAUAGCAUCCUUUCGAUGUUAUUGAUAUCCUUGUUGAUUGUCCCAGGUGUGGUAGAAAGUGUCAAUAUAUUUCUCUUGUGCUUUGGUUCCUCAUCAGAUGAUGCAGUUUGAUAACGCAAUGGUUUUUGAACAGCAUGCUUUUGCAAAUAUCUAUAAAGGCAUCCUGUAGACUUGCAUAAAUUUGAUCAAAGUUAAUAACAUGAAUGUUGCUACUAAUAUUGCUAUAUUUGUAAAUGUAAAAAGCUGAAGAUGACAUUCCAACAUAAAAAUCAUACACCUAUAAAAAAUGCUUAACAGCCAAAUGAUAAAAAUUGUUCUCUGCAAUAAUAUUGAAAAUAAUACAAAUGGAUACAUCUACCAAAAUACAACAAUUGUCUCGCACAGUGGAAAAGUGGAAAAUGAUUCUGAAGUGCCAAGAUGCCUAAUGUCGUUUGUGAAAUGAAGCAGACCAUGAAUAUUGUAACUAUUGAAACUUGAACCAUAAAGAGUAUUAGAAUGAAGUACAAACUUUUGCAACACAAGUCCCACGAACAUCAGAUGUUUCUCCAACUGACACUUUAAAAGUAAGACUCUUAUAGCAGCAUGUAAAAGCAAGAAGUGCUUGUACAAUUGUCCGUCUAAAAUACCGUACAUUACAACAGGUCCUGUAUACCCUGUAUAAAAUGUCGUAUUUAAAAGUAUCGUUUCGCAUUCGCGAGAUUUCGUGAUGAAUUCUGCUUUGCAGAAAUCUCGGAUUGGAUCGCGGGCCAAUAUUUUCAAUGUUACGGGGAAUAGAACGUAAAAAUCUUGUAUGCCUCUGAAUCCGAAAACGAUUAGGAGAAGAAGUGAAUAUUUUUCAAUGCGAAAGUUCGCAUUUGAAAAUUAUCGAUUGCGAUUGAAUGCAAGGCAUAUUUGAAAUGAAUUGAAUCCUUUUUAAUGUGAAGCAUUCACCGUGCCGUCUCGCAUUUAGCGCGGUGAAAUUUAAUGGGAACUAAUACUUUUCAAUCCCUUUCUUCGGAUCAGAAAGCAGAAUUCAGAGAUAUUCAAAAUGUCAAUACUUUUUAAUAUGUUUCAAUUCGAUAUUUUAUAUAAAAGAAACUGACGAAAUUCUAUUGCUUUAUAUUUGGAAAAUAUACCUGAAGAUCUAGGGCGUCUUGAAAAAUCUGUAGGACAAUAUUAUUGUAAAUUAUUUAAACGAGUAUUAAUUAUAGAAAGUGAUACUGCUGAAAAUUUAGAUAAACGUGAAUACAUGUACCAAUGCAGACAAUAUUUUUUUCACUACACUCAAGCAUACUAAAUGCAUAUACUCAAAGUGCACUUGAGAAAUUAUUCCUAUUGGUAGCAUAGAUAAUGGACUUGUAUCCUUUUUGUGACGAUCUUCAUCAAAAUACAAUUUAUAAUUUUCAUCAGUACGGGAAGGACGAUUGACCAUUAAAUAUACAAUGACCAUUACUUUGUGUGUCAUAAACUUUACAUUUGGAAUAGGGGUAAUUAGACUUAUAACCACAAUGAUUUAAAAUAAAAGCUCGAACAGGUGCAUCAGCUAUAAAAGACCUUAAUUUUAUUGGUAGGUACAAGACUCUCUGCCACGAAAAUGUAUACCUCCAUUAGAUAUAAUAGGUGUAACAUUAGCAAAGAACUUUUCAAAAAAAGCGAUAGGAUCACCAGGCUUUUGUGCAUCUUUAUAAAUUCCUACAAUUGGUUUGACAUUUUAUGGACAUGUAUAGAUUGACAAAAGCGUGCUGUUUAAAAAUCAUUGCGUUAUCAAACGUCAUCUGAUAAGGAACCAAAGCGCAAGAGGAAUACAUUGAUCGCACUUUCUGCCACACCUGGGACAAUUAACAAGGACAUCAAUGACAUCAAGAGGAUGCUGCAACAAAAUAAGAAGACAACAUAUUUUAAUAUCCAUCCAGGAUUAACACAAACACCACAUAAAGAAAUAUGCACACAUGAAAACACAUACAAACAUUUCUCUUGACAAGGGAUAUACUCCUCAUAUACAGACACAUACAAACAUAGGAUAUACUGCACACAACACACGCACCUAUGUGAAGCUGGCCCCUCAUUAUCAAAAUUUGAAAAAAAAUGAUUAGAGUUCUAGUUGCCCCCCGAAAGGUUCUAGAGUUCUCAAUCACACAAAUAUUGAAUUCUCUCUAAAUACACAGACCAAUAAUAACUAAUAAUAUAAGUUUUACAUUGCGUACAGAUUAUGAUAAUAAACAUAUAUAAUAAACAUAUAAUAAAAAUAAUAAACAUAUACUAAUGACGCUUUAUCUCAGUUCCAGGACUUGACACCAAUUAUGACGAUACAAGAUGCACAUCAACAUGAUUAUGCCAUCUAUGCACAAAAGACCUCAGUAUAGGAAGAUAUAUAUAAAAGCCCAGCAAACUAUACAGAACUUAUGGAACAACGAGUCAGAAGAGGACGACAUUGAGGAUACGAACGACAAGUAAGAAUAGUAUUGCGAUGGAUAUGUAAUGGACCAAGGAGCAAGAUUCAAUAUAUCACUUUGACUUAAGUUACCCAGAGAAUGGAGAAGCAGAAGGGAAAGAAACAAGAUGAGGAAGAGGAAAGGACAGAAAAGAAAGGAGGAAUAUGUGGAGGAGAGAGAAAAUGGAGGAAGAGUGAUUGUAAAAUAAGGAGGAGGAGAAAUCUGUGUGGUUUCUGUCUGUCGACAGACGAAUUGGCACUUUUCAGUGCCAUAUUUUCUUAAUGUGUCAAACGUUGAUCAACUUGUCGUAUUAGCAAUGUGCAAUCGGUGCUUCUUAGCGCCACAUCAACUGCAAUGAACACUUACACUCGAGAUUAAUUUCCAAAUUUUCUUGAAUGUUGCAGAAACGUUUUCGAGUCCUGUAUGGAGCAGAUUUUCUCUUCAAUGACUCUCGUCAAGGAAGACAAUGAAGAAUCCACCAGAUGAAAAUUAUACUUCAUUCUUGUUAUAUAUCUAUAUAGGAAUCUAAUAUUCUAACGAAAGUAAUAAUGUGAAUUGUUACUCGAGUAUGUAGAAUAAUUUUAUUUAGGCCGUACGUCUUGUCCGGCCUCUCCAGACGCUGUUAUGUAUACAACUCACAAUCACCGUUCCGCCACAUUUGGAGCCUCCUCAAUUGAAACCAACCCUAGCGCGUAUCCGCGUAAAUACAUAACAAUUUCAAGGGGCAUUUCUGUAUGCCGAUGUUCCGUAGACGAUAACGGCCAGA
This is a long non-coding RNA of Harpegnathos saltator (Jerdon's jumping ant), 3433 nucleotides long. RefSeq lists it as uncharacterized. Lineage: Eukaryota; Metazoa; Arthropoda; Insecta; Hymenoptera; Formicidae. The record is from RefSeq and is a predicted model, not a curated record. The transcript has 8 exons.